CCUACGGGAGGCAGCAGUGAGGAAUAUUGGUCAAUGGCCGGAAGGCUGAACCAGCCAAGCCGCGUGAGGGAGGAAGGCGCAGAGCGUCGCAGACCUCUUUUGCCGGGGGACAAAAGGCCGGACUCGUCCGGUCCUGAGGGUACCCGGAGAAAAAGCAUAGGCUAACACCGUGCCAGCAGCAGCGGUAAUACGGAGGAUGCGAGCGUUAUACGGAUUCAUUGGGUUUAAAGGGUGCGCAGGCGGGCCUUUAAGCCGGCGGUGAAAUCGCGGGGCUCAACCCCGCGGAGCCGUCGGAACUGGGGGCGUUGAGGGCGGCGGAGGCAUGCGGAAUGCGCGGUGUAGCGGUGAAAUGCAUAGAUAUCGCGCAGAACCCCGAUUGCGAAGGCAGCGGGCCGUGCCGCCACUGACGCUGAGGCACGAAAGCGCGGGGAUCGAACAGGAUUAGAUACCCCGGUAGUC
Molecule: ribosomal RNA, 459 nt
Filed under: uncultured bacterium
Lineage: Bacteria
Description: partial 16S ribosomal RNA
Rfam family: Bacterial small subunit ribosomal RNA
Source: RNAcentral